Molecule: ribosomal RNA, 405 nt
Filed under: uncultured bacterium
Lineage: Bacteria
Description: partial 16S ribosomal RNA
Rfam family: Bacterial small subunit ribosomal RNA
Source: RNAcentral
GAUGAACGCUGGCGGCGUGCCUAAUACAUGCAAGUCGAGCGAAGCGGGGACGGGUGAGUAACACUGAGAUACCCUCCUAUAAGACUGGAAUACAUGGGGGAAACCCGCGCUAAACCGGAUACUUGGAGAUGGAACCUCGCUGCAUUAGCUAGUUGGUAAGGUAACGGCUUACAAAGGCAAAGAAGCAUAACCGACCUGAUAGGGUGAUCGGCCACACUGGAACUGAGACACGGUCCAGACUCCUACGGGAGGAAGCAGUAGGGAAUCUUCCGCAAUGGGCGAAAGCCUGACGGAGCAACGCCGCGUGAGUGAUGAAGGUCUUCGGAUCGUAAAACUCUGUUAUUAGGGAAGCGGUACCUAAUCAGAAAGCCACGGCUAACUACGUGCCAGCAGCCGCGGUAAUAC